This 1328-nucleotide ribosomal RNA is filed under the name Bacillus sp. FPZSP510. Its description in RNAcentral is "bacterial SSU rRNA". It matches the Rfam family "Bacterial small subunit ribosomal RNA", at positions 18 to 1327 of the family's 1533-position model. Lineage: Bacteria; Bacillati; Bacillota; Bacilli; Caryophanales; Bacillaceae. The record is from RNAcentral.
CCUGGCUCAGGACGAACGCUGGCGGCGUGCCUAAUACAUGCAAGUCGAGCGAACCGACGGGAGCUUGCUCCCUUAGGUUAGCGGCGGACGGGUGAGUAACACGUGGGUAACCUGCCUGUAAGACUGGGAUAACUCCGGGAAACCGGGGCUAAUACCGGAUGCUUGAUUGAACCGCAUGGUUCAAUUAUAAAAGGUGGCUUUUAGCUACCACUUACAGAUGGACCCGCGGCGCAUUAGCUAGUUGGUGAGGUAACGGCUCACCAAGGCGACGAUGCGUAGCCGACCUGAGAGGGUGAUCGGCCACACUGGGACUGAGACACGGCCCAGACUCCUACGGGAGGCAGCAGUAGGGAAUCUUCCGCAAUGGACGAAAGUCUGACGGAGCAACGCCGCGUGAGUGAUGAAGGUUUUCGGAUCGUAAAACUCUGUUGUUAGGGAAGAACAAGUACCGUUCGAACAGGGCGGURCCUUGACGGUACCUAACCAGAAAGCCACGGCUAACUACGUGCCAGCAGCCGCGGUAAUACGUAGGUGGCAAGCGUUGUCCGGAAUUAUUGGGCGUAAAGCGCGCGCAGGCGGUUUCUUAAGUCUGAUGUGAAAGCCCCCGGCUCAACCGGGGAGGGUCAUUGGAAACUGGGGAACUUGAGUGCAGAAGAGGAGAGUGGAAUUCCACGUGUAGCGGUGAAAUGCGUAGAGAUGUGGAGGAACACCAGUGGCGAAGGCGACUCUCUGGUCUGUAACUGACGCUGAGGCGCGAAAGCGUGGGGAGCGAACAGGAUUAGAUACCCUGGUAGUCCACGCCGUAAACGAUGAGUGCUAAGUGUUAGAGGGUUUCCGCCCUUUAGUGCUGCAGCAAACGCAUUAAGCACUCCGCCUGGGGAGUACGGUCGCAAGACUGAAACUCAAAGGAAUUGACGGGGGCCCGCACAAGCGGUGGAGCAUGUGGUUUAAUUCGAAGCAACGCGAAGAACCUUACCAGGUCUUGACAUCCUCUGACACCCCUAGAGAUAGGGCUUCCCCUUCGGGGGCAGAGUGACAGGUGGUGCAUGGUUGUCGUCAGCUCGUGUCGUGAGAUGUUGGGUUAAGUCCCGCAACGAGCGCAACCCUUGAUCUUAGUUGCCAGCAUUCAGUUGGGCACUCUAAGGUGACUGCCGGUGACAAACCGGAGGAAGGUGGGGAUGACGUCAAAUCAUCAUGCCCCUUAUGACCUGGGCUACACACGUGCUACAAUGGGCAGAACAAAGGGCAGCGAAGCCGCGAGGCUAAGCCAAUCCCACAAAUCUGYUMUCGRGUUCGGAUCGCAGUCUGCAACUCGACUGCGUGAAGCU